RNAcentral lists this ribosomal RNA (232 nucleotides) under uncultured bacterium. Its description in RNAcentral is "partial 16S ribosomal RNA". It matches the Rfam family "Bacterial small subunit ribosomal RNA", at positions 100 to 334 of the family's 1533-position model. The record is from RNAcentral.
CGGGACGGGUGAGUAAUGUCUGGGAAACUGCCCGAUGGAGGGGGAUAACUACUGGAAACGGUAGCUAAUACCGCAUGACGUCGCAAGACCAAAGAGGGGACCUUCGGGCCUCUUGCCAUCGGAUGUGCCCAGAUGGGAUUAGCUAGUAGGUGGGGUAACGGCUCACCUAGGCGACGAUCCCUGGCUGGUCUGAGAGGAUGACCAGCCACACUGGAACUGAGACACGGUCCAG